RNAcentral lists this ribosomal RNA (460 nucleotides) under uncultured bacterium. RNAcentral describes it as "partial 16S ribosomal RNA". It matches the Rfam family "Bacterial small subunit ribosomal RNA", at positions 338 to 795 of the family's 1533-position model. The record is from RNAcentral.
CCUACGGGUGGCAGCAGUGAGGAAUAUUGGACAAUGGACGGAAGUCUGAACCAGCCAUGUCGCGUGCAGGAAGACGGCUCUAUGAGUUGUAAACUGCUUUUGUACAAGGGUAAACCUGAAUACGUGUAUUCAGCUGAAAGUACUGUACGAAUAAGGAUCGGCUAACUCCGUGCCAGCAGCCGCGGUAAUACGGAGGAUCCAAGCGUUAUCCGGAUUUAUUGGGUUUAAAGGGUGCGUAGGCGGAUUGAUAAGUUAGAGGUGAAAUGUCCGAGCUUAACUCGGGAACUGCCUCUAAUACUGUUGGUCUAGAGAGUAGAUGCGGUAGGCGGAAUGUAUGGUGUAGCGGUGAAAUGCUUAGAGAUCAUACAGAACACCGAUUGCGAAGGCAGCUUACCAAUCUAUAUCUGACGUUGAGGCACGAAAGCGUGGGGAGCAAACAGGAUUAGAUACCCGAGUAGUC